RNAcentral lists this transfer RNA (86 nucleotides) under Streptococcus pneumoniae. RNAcentral's name for it is "tRNA-Gly(tcc)". It matches the Rfam family "tRNA". Rfam says of the family: Transfer RNA (tRNA) molecules are approximately 80 nucleotides in length. Their secondary structure includes four short double-helical elements and three loops (D, anti-codon, and T loops). Lineage: Bacteria; Bacillati; Bacillota; Bacilli; Lactobacillales; Streptococcaceae. The record is from RNAcentral.
UGCGGGUGUAGUUUAGUGGUAAAACUACAGCCUUCCAAGCUGUUGUCGCGAGUUCGNGGUCGUAGGUUCAAAUCCUGCUCCCGCAA